This 208-nucleotide unclassified non-coding RNA is filed under the name Hevea brasiliensis (rubber tree). The record is from RNAcentral. Lineage: Eukaryota; Viridiplantae; Streptophyta; Magnoliopsida; Malpighiales; Euphorbiaceae.
AUCUUUAUUAAUCAAUUGAUAAAAUGGACUUGCUGUUCUUUUGCUCUCUAUUUAUUCAGGGUUAAGAUGUUGUUGCUAGUUAAGGUUAAAAUUUUAGAUUUUUGUCAUAAUUACAAUACGUUGAAUACUGUAAAUUGCUUUGAAGAAUAUGGAAAAAAUAAGCUUGUAAGCUUUACAUACAUAAACCAAUUUUUUUUUUUUAAAUUGU